ACCAAAGACUUCCAUCAUCACACCUCCAAGCAUCUGAGACCUGGCAAAUGUUUAGGUUUUCUGGAAGCCUCACACACAAGGAUGUUCAGCAUUUAGCUACCGUCUCAGAGCCAGGAGCAAACACUUCUCAGGAAGCAGAGGCCCCAGCAGUCCCAUAUGUACACAGAACCAUAAUAUCAAGACAAGGAAGAUGUAAAUAGU
This 201-nucleotide long non-coding RNA is filed under the name Mustela putorius furo (domestic ferret). RNAcentral describes it as "lncRNA (ENSMPUG00000026998.1)". Lineage: Eukaryota; Metazoa; Chordata; Mammalia; Carnivora; Mustelidae. The record is from RNAcentral.